RNAcentral lists this ribosomal RNA (774 nucleotides) under uncultured Neocallimastigales. RNAcentral's name for it is "partial large subunit ribosomal RNA". It matches the Rfam family "Eukaryotic large subunit ribosomal RNA", at positions 18 to 643 of the family's 3401-position model. The record is from RNAcentral. Lineage: Eukaryota; Fungi; Neocallimastigomycota; Neocallimastigomycetes; Neocallimastigales.
UCAGACGAUGCGUCAUGCAUAUCAAUAAGCGGAGGAAAAGAAACUAACAAGGAUUCCCCUAGUAACGGCGAGUGAAGCGGGAAGAGCUCAAAUUUGAAAUCUUAAAGGGUUUCCCUUUACGAAUUGUAGUUUAAAGAAGUGUUUUCUGUUGAGGUUUUGGUAAAAGUUCUUUGGAAUAGGACAUCAUAGAGGGUGAGAAUCCCGUAUUUGACCUUUACUUUCAACUUUGUGAUACACUUUCAAGGAGUCGGAUUGUUUGGGAAUGCAGUCCAAAAUGGGUGGUAAAUUUCAUCUAAAGCUAAAUAUUGGCGAGAGACCGAUAGCGAACAAGUACCGUGAGGGAAAGAUGAAAAGAACUUUGAAAAGAGAGUUAAACAGUACGUGAAAUUGUCAAAAGGGAAGCGUUUGACACCAGUGUUGUUUUUCUGAAAAUCAAUUAAAGAACUGCUUAUGCUAAGCUGUUUAGACUUUAUCAGCUAUCUGUUUAGUUUUAGGCUUUUCUUUAAUGCACUUUUCAGUUAACAAGUCAACAUCAAUUUCUUUUGCUGUAUAAAAGCUUGAGGAAGGUGGCUUGAGAUUCGUCUUAAGUGUUUAUAGCCUCUUGCCUAUGCAGUCGGAGAGAUUGAGGUCUGCAGCGUAGAUCCUUCGGGGCUAAAUGCAUUUGUGCUAAGUUAUAGCAUUUUAUAGACAACUUGUUGACUAUGAUUUGUCUUGUAGCUUACUCGCUUAUGUUAUUUUACCUACGCUUAGGAUGUUGACACACGCGCGUGCUCG